Molecule: ribosomal RNA, 500 nt
Filed under: uncultured bacterium
Lineage: Bacteria
Description: partial 16S ribosomal RNA
Rfam family: Bacterial small subunit ribosomal RNA
Source: RNAcentral
AUUGAACGCUGGCGGCAUGCCUUACACAUGCAAGUCGAACGGCAGCACGGGAGCAAUCCUGGUGGCGAGUGGCGAACGGGUGAGUAAAGUAUCGGAACGUGCCCAGUCGUGGGGGAUAACGUAGCGAAAGUUACGCUAAUACCGCAUACGAUCUAUGGAUGAAAGCGGGGGAUCGCAAGACCUCGCGCGAUUGGAGCGGCCGAUAUCAGAUUAGGUAGUUGGUGGGGUAAAGGCUCACCAAGCCGACGAUCUGUAGCUGGUCUGAGAGGACGACCAGCCACACUGGGACUGAGACACGGCCCAGACUCCUACGGGAGGCAGCAGUGGGGAAUUUUGGACAAUGGGCGAAAGCCUGAUCCAGCCAUACCGCGUGCGGGAUGAAGGCCUUCGGGUUGUAAACUGCUUUUGUACGGAACGAAAAGGUUUGGCCUAAUAAGCUGAGCUCAUGACGGUACCGUAAGAAUAAGCACCGGCUAACUACGUGCCAGCAGCCGCGGUAA